Molecule: ribosomal RNA, 253 nt
Filed under: uncultured bacterium
Lineage: Bacteria
Description: partial 16S ribosomal RNA
Rfam family: Bacterial small subunit ribosomal RNA
Source: RNAcentral
UACGGGGGGGGUAAGCGUUGUUCGGAAUUACUGGGUGUAAAGGGUUCGUAGGCGGUGUGGCAAGUCGGGAGUGAAAUUUCUGGGCUCAACUCAGAGACUGCUUCCGAAACUGCUGUGCUUGAGUGUGGGAGAGGCGCGUGGAAUUGCAGGUGUAGCGGUGAAAUGCGUAGAUAUCUGCAGGAACACCCGUGGCGAAAGCGGCGCGCUGGACCACUACUGACGCUGAGGAACGAAAGCUAGGGGAGCAAACAGG